ACGGGUGAGUAACGCGUGGGUAACCUGCCCUUAUAUCUGGGAUAACCUGCCGAAAGGUGAGCUAAUACCGGAUGACCUAUUGAUAUUGCCUGAUAUUGAUAGUAAAGGCGGCCUCUAUUUAUAAGCUGCCGUAUAAGGAUGGACCCGCGUCUGAUUAGCUAGUUGGUGAGGUAACGGCUCACCAAGGCGACGAUCAGUAGCCGGCCUGAGAGGGUGAACGGCCACACUGGGACUGAGACACGGCCCAGACUCCUACGGGAGGCAGCAGUGGGGAAUCUUCCGCAAUGGACGAAAGUCUGACGGAGCAACGCCGCGUGAGUGAAGAAGGUCUUCGGAUUGUAAAACUCUGUUUUUUGGGAAGAACGGUCUCUAUGUGAAUAAUGUAGAGAAUUGACGGUACCAAAGGAGGAAGCCCCGGCUAACUACGUGCCAGCAGCCGCGGUAAUACGUAGGGGGCAAGCGUUGUCCGGAAUUAUUGGGCGUAAAGAGCGCGCAGGCGGCUAUUUAAGUCUACCGUGAAAGCUUACGGCUCAACCGUAACAGGCCGGUGGAUACUGGAUGGCUUGAGGGCAGGAGAGGAAAGUG
RNAcentral lists this ribosomal RNA (585 nucleotides) under uncultured bacterium. RNAcentral's name for it is "bacterial SSU rRNA". It matches the Rfam family "Bacterial small subunit ribosomal RNA", at positions 102 to 663 of the family's 1533-position model. The record is from RNAcentral.